CCCUCUGCCUACGUGUACCUCUAUAGCUUCCUCGGCGGGCUCGCCCGCCGCCAGGAACCCACGAAACCCCUUGCAUUAUACGCGAAAACUUCUGAUAACAAACCUAAAUUAUCACAACUUUCAACAAUGGAUCUCUUGGUUCUGGCAUCGAUGAAGAACGCAGCGAAAUGCGAUAAGUAGUGUGAAUUGCAGAAUUCAGUGAAUCAUCGAAUCUUUGAACGCACAUUGCGGCCAUAGGUAUUCCUUUGGCCAUGCCUGUUCGAGCGUCAUUUACACCCUCAAGCCUAGCUUGGUGUUGGGCGUCUGUCCCGCCGUUCUCGCGCGCGGACUCGCCUCAAAGUCAUUGGCGGCGGUCGUGCCGGCCCCCUCGCGCAGCACAUUUGCGCUUCUCGGAGGCCCGGCGGAUCCGCGCUCCAGCAAGACCUUUCACGACUUGACCUCGGAUCAGGUAGGGAUACCCGCUGAACUUAAGCAUAUCAAA
This 481-nucleotide ribosomal RNA is filed under the name Periconia sp. ca_sqma_28_3b. RNAcentral describes it as "eukaryotic LSU rRNA". The stretch from base 116 to 269 matches the Rfam family "5.8S ribosomal RNA". Lineage: Eukaryota; Fungi; Ascomycota; Dothideomycetes; Pleosporales; Periconiaceae. The record is from RNAcentral.